GAAGCGUCUAUUCAGCAUGAUCAAUGAACUUCCAACAGCUUUUGAAAUUGUGGCUGAAAGAAAGCAUGUAAAAGAGAAGCCCACUGCUGAUAGUGGAAGCAAAUCUCGUGGUAGUACGAAGAAAUCUAGUGACAGUCAGGCCAAAAGCACACCAAAGCUUGCAGAUGAAAGUUACCCGGAGGAAGAAGAACAUGGUGAGACACUCUGCGGCAGCUGUGGUGGGAAUUAUAGUGCUGAUGAAUUCUGGAUCGGCUGCGACAUCUGUGAGAGGUGGUUCCAU
Molecule: unclassified non-coding RNA, 280 nt
Filed under: Hevea brasiliensis (rubber tree)
Lineage: Eukaryota; Viridiplantae; Streptophyta; Magnoliopsida; Malpighiales; Euphorbiaceae
Source: RNAcentral